AAAGCCACCUUCACCCAAUAGAUUCUUAGAACUGAAACCAUCCGUGGCCUUCUCAAGCUCACUUCGGGAAAAUGCCUUGACUGAUGGCGGGCAAGUAAUCAUGGCUGAAACCAAGGAUACUGAUGUUGAGCUUGCCAGACUACUUGAUGCUACUGGUCUCAUACCAGGUCUAUUUGUAAUUGAGGGGAUAGUUACUGGUGCAAGGGCUGUCAGUGUCCUUAUGAGAUGUUGGCGUUUCAAGAUGAUAAAAAUUACUCCAGCGAAUAUGAAGAUA
Molecule: unclassified non-coding RNA, 274 nt
Filed under: Hevea brasiliensis (rubber tree)
Lineage: Eukaryota; Viridiplantae; Streptophyta; Magnoliopsida; Malpighiales; Euphorbiaceae
Source: RNAcentral